UUCACUUCCAAUCCAGCAUUUUCAUUUUUUAAACCUAACCCUUCCCGCAACGUCGCCUUCCCUCUCCGGUUCCCUGCGGCGGCUGCGGAGGAGUCUCUGGCACCGACCUCUCUUCUCCCUCUCGCUCUUGUCCUUCCCCUCCGUGAGCAUCCGGAGUCAUCUCGUUGGUCGGCCCGCCCUGCUUGGCCCCUUCACUGGCUACGCCGCCAUCCUCAACCACUCCCAAUUCCUCGAGCCAACUAAAGAGGUUGCUAGAGGAAGUGUGCCACUUCAGACCUAGCCAAGCGUCUGCCAACUACAGAGGCUACAGUAGCGACGGUGUCUUCCUCCUGGAGUUGCUCCUAGACUCGGAUAUACCCAGCGAGAACCGUGCGUGAAUCCUCUGCCCUCUCCCUCGCCUCGGUCCCUUCCUCAAUUCGUCUGCUCCUCGAUGCUUCGUCCUUCAUGAGCAGUCAGUUCUUUCAUGGAUUUCGGGAGACUUUUCUAGGCUUUGGCGCUAGUGGUGCUGCACUUGGAGGAAAUCUACACUAUUAGGUUCAUCAAACUACAUGGAUCGCCAGAUUCCUUUUGUUGGCAUUCUGAGUAACAUCUCGUCACAAAAUCUUGAAUGGAACAAUACUUUGCUUUAGAGGCCAACGUAUAUGGAGGUAAUUAUGGGUGAACUCUUACAGAAAGGACUUGCAAAUGCUAAACAAGUCUUGAGCUUGAAUUUCAAUUAAGCUAAUGUUUAUUUAUUGGAAAAACUAUAGUCUUACAUAUGUUGCGUACUUCAUCAACAAUUUAUUCCUUACAAAUACUCAGGCUCUGUGCUUAUUUUAGUUUGUUAACUUCCAUGUUCUUGCAUCAUUUGAAUAUUUCAGAGGAACACAUUGCUUGAAGGAUAAUAAGGCUCAAUUUGCUUCUAUCCAAUUUUGCAGUAAAAGAAGCCUCGUUAAGUUUGUGUAUCUUUUAGUGAUUGAUGAUUCAAAUUCAAUCAUGUUAGAACCAUCAUAUUCUCAUCAACAGUAAGCAUAUACAUAGAGUUUAAGGACACUAUAUAUGUUUGGACAUCCUAAAAGUAUGUGGUUGCUGAGAGAAGAUAUCUUGUGCUUUAUGGAAAUGAGAGAGAUAGGUACUAGACAGAUUUUGGGUUUACAUGGGAUAUGUUAACUUACAAUGUUUAUUUGCAUUUUAAUAUUUUAUUUGAAACUUGCCCACACCUUAAAACAUUUCUUACAGAGUUAUAUAAUAUUUGAGUGCAAUCACCUCUAUAAAUAUUUGAGAGAUGAAGACAAGGUUGAUUAUGUUUCAUUUGUGGAUCCCGACAACAUACCUACAUGCCCACUUGGUAAAGAUGGUCGUGACACAUCACAACAUAUUGUCGAUUCCCAUACAACACUGGGUACCAUUGGAUCUUGACUAUUGUGAAUGAAGAUAAAAAUAUAAUAUAUUUAUUGGACUGUAUGUCUAAUAGAAACCGAGACGAUGCAUGGAAAUCUAUGGCGACCAAGUAGUGGGGUCAAGAUGUAUAAUGCCUCAAAGGGUAUUGCUAAAGUAUCAGGUUUUAAGCAAUUGAUGGGUAAUCUAAAACAAAGUGGUUCUGUUGAAUGUGGAUAUUAUGUGAUGAGGUA
RNA transcript from Zingiber officinale, 1610 nucleotides. RefSeq lists it as uncharacterized. The transcript has 6 exons. Lineage: Eukaryota; Viridiplantae; Streptophyta; Magnoliopsida; Zingiberales; Zingiberaceae. The record is from RefSeq and is a predicted model, not a curated record.